GGGGCCGUAGCUCAGUUGGGAGAGCGCCUGGUUUGCAACCAGGAGGUAGCGGGUUCGAACCCCGUCGGCUCCA
RNAcentral lists this transfer RNA (73 nucleotides) under Phycisphaerae bacterium. RNAcentral describes it as "tRNA-Ala". It matches the Rfam family "tRNA". Rfam says of the family: Transfer RNA (tRNA) molecules are approximately 80 nucleotides in length. Lineage: Bacteria; Pseudomonadati; Planctomycetota; Phycisphaerae. The record is from RNAcentral. RNAcentral also lists the same sequence under 1 other name.